This 971-nucleotide long non-coding RNA is filed under the name Daphnia magna. Its description in RNAcentral is "uncharacterized LOC123470326, transcript variant X2". The record is from RNAcentral. Lineage: Eukaryota; Metazoa; Arthropoda; Branchiopoda; Diplostraca; Daphniidae.
GAAUAUUCAUAUCUAUACCAACGAAAACUAUUGUUAUAUUUCUAAGUUUGAGAUGCAUAAUCGAUAGGAAGACAUGGGCAAUCCUUUACUUUUACGGAAGACCGGAAACACGAUUAAGUAACCACUCGUGAUAAGAAAAGUCAAGACAAUUGAUAGAUGCAUUAAUAGACGGUCGAGUCCAUUCCUUGAACCCUUGUGGACCAUUAUCCUACACUCACGACGCAAUUUGGCAAUCAUAGUUGAUGCAUCCUAAUUUUGCAGAAGCCUGAUCGAAUGACUCCAUUGGCGUCAAAAACUACAGAGAGCCGUAAUGAAAACUCGCCAUCUUUAAACUGGCUUCCAACAAUACCAACGCAAAUGUUUUUUUCGUGAAAAUUCCUUAUUAAGUUUGAUAUGUCUUCCAUUGAUGAAAAAUGAGUAGGAAUACUGUUUGGUGCAAUGUUCUUUCCAUUAAGAUGAUACGAAACCUCUUGUGAGUUUCGGAAUAGUAUUGCUUUCACUGUCACCGUUCCGUUAGAUAAUGGGUCCGUGUAAAUGCAAAGUAUGUCGUUUUUGGCUUGGUUGAAUGACCAUAUCCAACCGUCAGGUAAUUCCAUUUGGGACACAAAUGUGAAAUACGUGAUGAAGUUUGGUUUGAAGUUCCAUAUACUCUCAUCUGAAAAAGAACGAAAAUAAAUUAUAAUUAAUGUCAGAAACAACAUAUCACCCCAGGUAGCACACAGACUCUGUUUCAGGUCUGUUACAGAUCUGUUUUUGAGAGUCGGUAAAUUGUUUGUAGUGUCCCACUUUUACAGACUGUCACACAGGUCUGUGACAGACCUGACUUACAAAAUCUGUAUAACAGGUUUGUUACAGACCUGACUUACAAAAUCUGUAUAACAGGUUUGUUACAUAACGCGUACCACAGUCUUUGUACUACCAACUGUUUACAGAUCCGUCGUUUCAAUAAUACAAGUAUACAACUCACGCGA